AAAAAAAUCACAAAUUUGACAAAUUAGCAGGUGAGCUGCCUUCAGCAGAACAACAAGGUCGUUUUUUUUUUUGUUUUUUUUUUAAAAAUAUUAUUUUAUAUUUAGCAAUGAGCUUGGCUUCUGUAAAUCUUGCUUUCUCAAACUGUGACAUUUCAAAUAGACCUGCAUGGUAGAGAAUGGACAUUUCCAACACAGCCCCUUCUCUUUACAGGGCUCUGGAGGCUGGGACUCUACGCAGGAGAACUGUGUUUGGAAAAGAAGUCCUGCUUAAAUAUUUCUUUUACCCAGCACUCAGCAGCAAGCAUUCCAGCCUCACUGAGUAUUGACAUCACAGAAACGAAGGAGUUAAGGCCUGUGGGUUUGCAUUCUGUCAUCAUUGAAGUGAGUCCUGGCCUGAAGGAUUUGGAAGAUUAACCAAAUGAGCCCUGUCUGUGGCUGCAUCCCUGAUUCUGUCCAGAUGGAGAAUCCAUGUGACAAUCUAUAUUCUCUUGUCACAGUAGCAUUCAUUCCAGAGCUUAGAGAACAUCCAUGAAGUAAACAGAUGAGGGUGUAGUCCUUAUGAUCUUACAAUCUAGUCAUGGAGCAAAUAAGCAAAGGGAAAUGUCAUCCAAAAAUAUUGGUGAUACUGCUGAGAUGUCUAAGUCCAGGAGAACUGCUGUAGCUGAGCUGAAGUAUCUAUAUCAACAGCUUGCAGGGGCCUUCCUACUCACUCCAACAAGCACCACUCGCACUAAAGUGGGUUGGAGCUCCAGACUAUGUUCCUCAAAGAGGCUUGUAAAUUAUCAUAAUUCUAAGUCCAGACCUGCAGAGAUUACCUGAGGUUAAGCCCACCAUAGAGAGCUCUUCUAUUGAUAGUUUUUCGCCAGUAUUUCAAGUGACCUACUUGGCCUUUCUUUGCUCCAUCCUACUUUUUCCAUCAGAGAUUCUUUAAGCAAUUCUACUUGUUCUGGUGGGGUGUUUCAGCACAUAGCUAGCUGGCAGGCUGACUUGGCAGGUCUGCUACCCGGGGAUAAGAAGUUGCUCAUAGGUUCCAAAAUGGAGUUCCAGAUUCCUUUUUGUAGUGUUCUACUUGAUGAAAUCUCCUGGGAACAUCUUGAUUUUAGCAAGUUCUCUUUAAAUCUCCAUUCCUCUUUUAAGGUAGUUUUGCUUCUAUUUAAAAAUCAGACAGAGUAACCUUUUUUCCUUACUUUCUCACUCCUUCCCCUCCUCAACUCCUUCCUCCUUUUUUCUUCUUUCUUCCCCCCACCCCUCCCGCCCACAUUGAUUUCUUUAUUACUCUGUUUAGUUCAGUCUUUGCAGUUUUUCCUAUGAACCCAGAAGUCAAGCUGGCCUCCUAUGAAUUAUUUUCUGAGUAAUAUAUAGAUAACUACAGAGAAUAGAAUAUCCUCUUUUUUCCCUGUAUACCCAUUGAGAAUUAAGAAUACAACUGUCAAUCUUAGCAGGACUCAGUAAGUGCUGUAUUCAGAAACAGUAAGUGGAAAUAUGAUCAGCAUGCACUUUCAUGUUUCAGUAAAAUGGAAUAUGUGGAACUGACAAGACUGAUAACUUAUAAAAGGCAAUCUUCUACCCAAAACAUUCUUAUGAUGUUCUCUGGCUUCAGAGAUUACCUUUCCUGGACAGAAGAAUGUACAGCAUGCUGGAUUAAAUUUGGAAGGUCCCAAUAGACUAUUAGGGUUUACCAAACCCUGGGCCAACUUUAAUAUGUGUUUAAUUAGUUCUCUGUGGUAGAUAUAAACAAUAAAAAUAUCAAGUUUUGUGUAU
Long non-coding RNA from Mastomys coucha (southern multimammate mouse), 1761 nucleotides. RefSeq lists it as uncharacterized. Lineage: Eukaryota; Metazoa; Chordata; Mammalia; Rodentia; Muridae. The transcript has 4 exons. The record is from RefSeq and is a predicted model, not a curated record.